UUUGUCUAAUUCCUGUUUACCUAAAAAUAUGCUAAACAGAUCGUUGUUAGAACCGACAAACAAAGUUUAAUUUAAUUUUACUCUUACCUUUCCUACUUGAAGAAUAGUGGUUGUAAGAGGUCGAUCCAUAGGGAGGCGAUUGGAGUUGCAUAAAAAUUAGAAUGUUCACUCGGAUUUGAAAUCGAUUUUUGAAUGAUAAAAGAAAAACAUUAUGUCGGGGAUAUUGACUGAUUUUCUGUUCUAACAGAGAAUUAUUUUUAAUUGAAAUUAACUAGAAGACAUAUACUUAGAUGUAAAGAGCAUUUAUAUAUUUAAUGAAAAAGAAAGGCUUUGGCAUAAAUUAAAAUGGAUGAAAGCUAAGAAGAUUGAAGCCUGGGACAUAAAUUGCAUGAAAGAAAUUUAAAUAUAUUGCAUUAGAAGAAAAAUUACAGAAUGUGAAAAACAUAAAUUAAGAUUGCAAAUCUAAAGCUCCUAAAAUAAAACUCUCCAGUAAAAUUGCAACAGAAAGAGCUACAAAUAAGACCAUUAAUUAAAAUUAAAAACAACAUUACUCUUAAUUAAACUAAAACUAAAAAAUAAUAAUAA
RNAcentral lists this long non-coding RNA (585 nucleotides) under Phoenix dactylifera (date palm). RNAcentral describes it as "long non-coding RNA (PDAC_LNC021220)". Lineage: Eukaryota; Viridiplantae; Streptophyta; Magnoliopsida; Arecales; Arecaceae. The record is from RNAcentral.